UCCCAGUUCGGAUUGUAGGCUGCAACUCGCCUACAUGAAGUCGGAGUUGCUAGUAAUCGCGGAUCAGAAUGCCGCGGUGAAUGCGUUCCCGGGUCUUGUACACACCGCCCGUCACACCAUGGAAGUUGGGGCGCCCGAAGUUGCCUAAGAAAUAAGGUACCUAAGGCGAAACCAAUGACUGGGGUGAAGUCGUAACAAGGUAUC
This 204-nucleotide ribosomal RNA is filed under the name uncultured bacterium. Its description in RNAcentral is "partial 16S ribosomal RNA". It matches the Rfam family "Bacterial small subunit ribosomal RNA", at positions 1286 to 1500 of the family's 1533-position model. The record is from RNAcentral.